GAUGAAGAACGAAGCGAAAUGCGAUAAGUAAUGUGAAUUGCAGAAUUCAGUGAAUCAUCGAAUCUUUGAACGCACCUUGCGCUCCUUGGUAUUCCGAGGAGCAUGCCUGUUUGAGUGUCAUGAAAUUCUCAACCUUUUCAGCUUUCUUUGUUGAUCAGGCUUGGAUGUGGGAGUAUGCGGGCUUCUCAGAAGUCGGCUCUCCUGAAAUGCAUUAGCGGGACCUUUGUUGCCUGGCUUUGGUGUGAUAAUUAUCUACGCCAUUGUAGUCAAGCAGCUUAAAAUGAGGUUUCAGCUUCUAACCGUCUCCCCUGAGACAACUUUUUGACAAUUUGACCUCAAAUCAGGUAGGACUACCCGCUGAACUUAAGCAUAUCAUAAGCGGAGGA
RNAcentral lists this unclassified non-coding RNA (386 nucleotides) under soil metagenome. RNAcentral's name for it is "partial contains 5.8S ribosomal RNA, internal transcribed spacer 2, and large subunit ribosomal RNA". The stretch from base 1 to 120 matches the Rfam family "5.8S ribosomal RNA", at positions 35 to 154 of the family's 154-position model. The record is from RNAcentral.